GCUGAUGUAGCUCAGUGGUAGAGCACUCCCUUGGUAAGGGAGAGGUCGAGAGUUCAAUCCUCUCCAUCAGCACCA
RNAcentral lists this transfer RNA (75 nucleotides) under Methylobacterium sp. RNAcentral's name for it is "tRNA-Thr". It matches the Rfam family "tRNA". From Rfam's summary of the family: Transfer RNA (tRNA) molecules are approximately 80 nucleotides in length. Their secondary structure includes four short double-helical elements and three loops (D, anti-codon, and T loops). RNAcentral also lists the same sequence under 2 other names. The record is from RNAcentral. Lineage: Bacteria; Pseudomonadati; Pseudomonadota; Alphaproteobacteria; Hyphomicrobiales; Methylobacteriaceae.